CCUACGGGGGGCUGCAGUGGGGAAUAUUGCGCAAUGGGGGGAACCCUGACGCAGCGACGCCGCGUGAAGGAAGAAGGUCUUCGGAUUGUAAACUUCUUUGACUGGGGACGAAGGAAGUGACGGUACCCAGAUAACAAGCCACGGCUAACUACGUGCCAGCAGCCGCGGUAAUACGUAGGUGGCAAGCGUUGUCCGGAAUUACUGGGUGUAAAGGGCGUGUAGGCGGGGAUGCAAGUCAGAUGUGAAAAACCAUGGCUCAACUGUGGUCUUGCAUCUGAAACUGUAUUUCUUGAGUACUGGAGAGGGAAGUGGAAUUCCUAGUGUAGCGGUGAAAUGCGUAGAGAUUAGGAGGAACACCAGUGGCGAAGGCGGCUUCCUGGCCAGAGACUGACGCUGAGGCGCGAAAGCGUGGGGAGCAAACAGGAUUAGAUACCCGGGUAGUC
This 443-nucleotide ribosomal RNA is filed under the name uncultured Oscillospiraceae bacterium. Its description in RNAcentral is "bacterial SSU rRNA". It matches the Rfam family "Bacterial small subunit ribosomal RNA", at positions 338 to 795 of the family's 1533-position model. Lineage: Bacteria; Bacillati; Bacillota; Clostridia; Eubacteriales; Oscillospiraceae. The record is from RNAcentral.